GUAGGUGGCAAGCGUUGUCCGGGAAUUAUUGGGGCGUAAAGCGCGCGCAGGCUGUUCUUUAAGUCUGAUGUGAAAGCCCACGGGCUCAACCGUGGAGGGUCAUUGGAAACUGGAGAACUUGAGUACAGAAGAGGAAAGCGGAAUUCCACGUGUAGCGGUGAAAUGCGUAGAGAUGUGGAGGAACACCAGUGGCGAAGGCGGCUUUCUGGUCUGUAACUGACGCUGAGGCGCGAAAGCGUGGGGAGCAAACAGGAUUAGAUACCCUGGUAGUCCACGCCGUAAACGAUGAGUGCUAAGUGUUAGGGGGUUUCCGCCCCUUAGUGCUGCAGCUAACGCAUUAAGCACUCCGCCUGGGGAGUACGGCCGCAAGGCUG
This 374-nucleotide ribosomal RNA is filed under the name uncultured organism. RNAcentral's name for it is "partial 16S ribosomal RNA". It matches the Rfam family "Bacterial small subunit ribosomal RNA", at positions 527 to 896 of the family's 1533-position model. The record is from RNAcentral.